RNAcentral lists this unclassified non-coding RNA (337 nucleotides) under soil metagenome. RNAcentral describes it as "partial contains 5.8S ribosomal RNA, internal transcribed spacer 2, and large subunit ribosomal RNA". The stretch from base 1 to 120 matches the Rfam family "5.8S ribosomal RNA", at positions 35 to 154 of the family's 154-position model. The record is from RNAcentral.
GAUGAAGAACGUAGCGAAAUGCGAUAAGUAAUGUGAAUUGCAGAAUUCAGUGUAUCAUCGAAUCUUUGAACGCACAUUGCGCCCGGCAGUACUCUGCCGGGCAUGCCUGUUCGAGCGUCAUUUCAACCCUCAAGCCCUGCUUGGUGUUGGGGCCCCACGGCUGCCGUGGGCCCUGAAAGGAAGUGGCGGGCUCGCUACAACUCCGAGCGUAGUAAUUCAUUAUCUCGCUUAGGGCGUUGGGCGGCGCUCCAGCCGUUAAAGAACCAUCUUUAACUCAAGGUUGACCUCGGAUCAGGUAGGAAUACCCGCUGAACUUAAGCAUAUAAUAAGCGGAGGA